AAGAUAGAGGUUGCGUUUUUCAUCAGUAGACUGUCUGAUAUUUCAGGAAUAGGUAAGGGCAGUUGAAAGGGAAUGACGCCGAAGGAUCAUAGUGCCUGAGACUUAUGAUUCUGGGCAUGCAGUUAAAAGCUGCAUGACUGCCGACGGUUAUCCGGCGGAGCGCUAUCU
Molecule: non-coding RNA, 168 nt
Filed under: uncultured Faecalimonas sp.
Lineage: Bacteria; Bacillati; Bacillota; Clostridia; Lachnospirales; Lachnospiraceae
Description: Lysine riboswitch
Rfam family: Lysine riboswitch aptamer
About the family: Riboswitches are metabolite binding domains within certain messenger RNAs that serve as precision sensors for their corresponding targets. Allosteric rearrangement of mRNA structure is mediated by ligand binding, and this results in modulation of gene expression.
Source: RNAcentral